RNAcentral lists this transfer RNA (73 nucleotides) under Mus musculus (house mouse). RNAcentral describes it as "tRNA-Ser". Lineage: Eukaryota; Metazoa; Chordata; Mammalia; Rodentia; Muridae. The record is from RNAcentral.
GGAGAGGUGGCUCAGAGGUUAAGAGCACUGACUGCUCUUCCAGAGGUCCUGAGUUCAAUUCCCAGCAACCACA